RNAcentral lists this transfer RNA (70 nucleotides) under Bemisia tabaci. Its description in RNAcentral is "tRNA-Ile". Lineage: Eukaryota; Metazoa; Arthropoda; Insecta; Hemiptera; Aleyrodidae. The record is from RNAcentral.
UUUAGAAUGCCUGAAUAAAAGGUCUAUUAUGAUAUAAUAGUUUAUGUAACUGUGAAAGUUACUUCUAGAG